CAGCUCGUCAUGCUAGAGCACUUUUUCAAUGUGCUCCCUAACGAGAAGGUGACAACGCAUUCGUAUGUCAAUCCAUAUCAACUGCGCCUACCAUGGUGACCACGGGUAACGGGGAAUCAGGGUUCGAUUCCGUACAGGGACCCUGACAAAUGGCUACCACAUGCAAAGAAGUCAGCAGGCGCAAAUGACCCACUCAAGACACGGGAAGGUAGUGA
RNAcentral lists this ribosomal RNA (215 nucleotides) under Pelobates cultripes (western spadefoot toad). RNAcentral describes it as "SSU_rRNA_microsporidia". It matches the Rfam family "Eukaryotic small subunit ribosomal RNA", at positions 240 to 470 of the family's 1831-position model. Lineage: Eukaryota; Metazoa; Chordata; Amphibia; Anura; Pelobatidae. The record is from RNAcentral.